Molecule: unclassified non-coding RNA, 253 nt
Filed under: uncultured Dehalococcoidia bacterium
Lineage: Bacteria; Bacillati; Chloroflexota; Dehalococcoidia
Description: contains 16S-23S intergenic spacer region
Rfam family: Bacterial small subunit ribosomal RNA
Source: RNAcentral
UACGUAGGAUCCGAGCGUUGUCCGGAUUUACUGGGCGUAAAGGGUGCGUAGGCGGCCUGCCAAGUCUCAUGUGAAAUCUCCCGGCUCAACCGGGAGGGGCCAUGGGAAACUGGCAGGCUUGAGUGCAGCAGAGGAGAGCGGAAUUCCCGGAGUAGUGGUGAAAUGCGUAGAUACCGGGAGGAACACCAGUGGCGAAGGCGGCUCUCUGGGCUGUGACUGACGCUGAGGCACGAAAGCGUGGGGAGCAAACAGG